Molecule: unclassified non-coding RNA, 379 nt
Filed under: uncultured Thermoactinomycetaceae bacterium
Lineage: Bacteria; Bacillati; Bacillota; Bacilli; Caryophanales; Thermoactinomycetaceae
Description: contains 16S-23S intergenic spacer region
Source: RNAcentral
UCCGGCUUUCACCGGCUGUCUCUCUAGAGUGCCCAGCAUGACCUGCUGGCAACUAAAGAUAAGGGUUGCGCUCGUUGCGGGACUGAACCCAACAUCUCACGACACGAGCUGACGACAACCAUGCACCACCUGUCACCUCUGUCCCCGAAGGGAAAGGUAUAUCUCUACACCGAUCAGAGGGAUGUCAAGCCCUGGUAAGGUUCUUCGCGUUGCAUCGAAUUAAACCACAUGCUCCACCGCUUGUGCGGGCCCCCGUCAAUUCCUUUGAGUUUCAACCUUGCGGUCGUACUCCCCAGGCGGAGUGCUUAUUGGGUUUCCUUCGGCACUGGGGGCGUAACGCCCCCAACACCUAGCACUCAUCGUUUACGGCGUGGACUAC